CUUGCUUGGGGUACUCGAGUGGCGAACGGGUGAGUAAUACGUGGGUAACCUGCCCUCUUCUUUGGGAUAAGCCCCGGAAACGGGGUCUAAUACCGGAUAUUCUGCUUCUGCCGCAUGGUGGGGGUUGGAAAGGUUUUUCGGUGGGGGAUGGGCCCGCGGCCUAUCAGCUUGUUGGUGGGGUGAUGGCCUACCAAGGCUUCGACGGGUAGCCGGCCUGAGAGGGUGACCGGCCACAUUGGGACUGAGAUACGGCCCAGACUCCUACGGGAGGCAGCAGCG
RNAcentral lists this ribosomal RNA (279 nucleotides) under uncultured Arcanobacterium sp. RNAcentral's name for it is "partial 16S ribosomal RNA". It matches the Rfam family "Bacterial small subunit ribosomal RNA", at positions 76 to 356 of the family's 1533-position model. Lineage: Bacteria; Bacillati; Actinomycetota; Actinomycetes; Actinomycetales; Actinomycetaceae. The record is from RNAcentral.